UGGGGAAUAUUGGGCAAUGGGCGAAAGCCUGACCCAGCGACGCCGCGUGGACGAUGAAGGCCUUCGGGUUGUAAAGUCCUGUCAUGCGGAAAGAAUAGCCUUAUGGUUAAUACCCAUGAGGUUUGACGGUACCGCAGGAGGAAGCACCGGCUAACUCCGUGCCAGCAGCCGCGGUAAUACGGCGGGUGCAAGCGUUGUUCGGAAUUAUUGGGCGUAAAGGACGCGUAGGCGGUAAUGAAAGUCAGAUGUGAAAUACUCCGGCUCAACUGGAGAACUGCAUCUGAAACUUCAUCACUCGAGUACAGAAGAGGGAAACGGAAUUCCCGGUGUAGAGGUGAAAUUCGUAGAUAUCGGGAGGAACACCAGUGGCGAAGGCGGUUUCCUGGUCUGAUACUGACGCUGAGGCGUGAAAGUGUGGGGAGCAAACA
Molecule: ribosomal RNA, 428 nt
Filed under: uncultured prokaryote
Description: bacterial SSU rRNA
Rfam family: Bacterial small subunit ribosomal RNA
Source: RNAcentral